UAGUAGUACAGGUCAGUAGUACAGGUCAGUAGUAGUAGUACCGGUCAGUAGUACAGGUCAGUAGUGGUAGUAGUACAGGUCAGUAGUAGUACAGGUCAGUAGUACAGGUCAGUAGUACAGGUCAGUAGUGGUAGUACAGGUCAGUAGUAGUAGUACAGGUCAGUAGUGGUAGUACAGGUCAGUAGUAGUAGUACCGGUCAGUAGUACAGGUCAGUAGUACAGGUCAGUAGUGGUAGUACAGGUCAGUAGUACAGGUCAGUAGUAGUGGUAGUACAGGUCAGUAGUACAGGUCAGUAGUGGUAGUACAGGUCAGUAGUAGUAGUACAGGUCAGUAGUAGUAGUACAGGUCAGUAGUACAGGUCAGUAGUGGUAGUACAGGUCAGUAGUACAGGUCAGUAGUAG
Molecule: long non-coding RNA, 402 nt
Organism: Oncorhynchus keta (chum salmon)
Lineage: Eukaryota; Metazoa; Chordata; Actinopteri; Salmoniformes; Salmonidae
Exons: 7
Source: RefSeq, a predicted model, not a curated record